Molecule: ribosomal RNA, 253 nt
Filed under: uncultured bacterium
Lineage: Bacteria
Description: partial 16S ribosomal RNA
Rfam family: Bacterial small subunit ribosomal RNA
Source: RNAcentral
UACGUAGGGUGCAAGCGUUGUCCGGAAUUAUUGGGCGUAAAGAGCUCGUAGGCGGUCUGUCGCGUCGGAUGUGAAAACCCAGGGCUCAACCCUGGGCCUGCAUUCGAUACGGGCAGACUAGAGUUCGGUAGGGGAGACUGGAAUUCCUGGUGUAGCGGUGAAAUGCGCAGAUAUCAGGAGGAACACCGGUGGCGAAGGCGGGUCUCUGGGCAGUAACUGACGCUGAGAAGCGAAAGCGUGGGGAGCGAACAGG